GUAGUCAUAUGCUUGUCUCAAAGAUUAAGCCAUGCAUGUCUAAGUAUAAGCACUCAUACUGUGAAACUGCGAAUGGCUCAUUAAAUCAGUUAUCGUUUAUUUGAUAGUACCUUUACCUGGAUAACCGUGGUAAUUCUAGAGCUAAUACAUGCUAAAAACCCCAACUUCGGGAGGGGUGUAUUUAUUAGAUAAAAAACCAAUGCCCUCUGGGCUCCUUGGUGAUUCAUAAUAACUUAACGAAUCGCAUGGCCUUGCGCCGGCGGAUGGUUCAUUCAAAUUUCUGCCCUAUCAACUUUCGAUUGUAGGAUAGAAACCUACAAUGGUCUUAACGGGUAACGGGGAAUUAGGGUUCGACUCCGGAGAGGGAGCCUGAGAAACGGCUACCACAUCCAAGGAAGGCAGCAGGCGCGCAAAUUACCCAAUGCUAAUUCAGCGAGGUAGUGACAAUAAAUACUGAUACGGGGCUCUUUCGGGUCUCGUAAUUGGAAUGAGUACAAUCUAAAUCCCUUAACGAGGAACAAUUGGAGGGCAAGUCUGGUGCCAGCAGCC
This 549-nucleotide ribosomal RNA is filed under the name Fonsecaea pedrosoi. RNAcentral's name for it is "SSU rRNA". It matches the Rfam family "Eukaryotic small subunit ribosomal RNA", at positions 20 to 575 of the family's 1831-position model. Lineage: Eukaryota; Fungi; Ascomycota; Eurotiomycetes; Chaetothyriales; Herpotrichiellaceae. The record is from RNAcentral.